RNAcentral lists this ribosomal RNA (1447 nucleotides) under uncultured cyanobacterium. Its description in RNAcentral is "16S ribosomal RNA". It matches the Rfam family "Bacterial small subunit ribosomal RNA". The record is from RNAcentral. Lineage: Bacteria; Bacillati; Cyanobacteriota.
AGAGUUUGAUCCUGGCUCAGGAUGAGCGCUGGCGGCGUGCUUAACACAUGCAAGUCGAACGAACCUUCGGGUUAGUGGCGGACGGGUGAGUAACGCGUGAGAAUCUGCCCUCAGGAGGGGGACAACAGCUGGAAACGGCUGCUAAUACCCCAUAUGCCGCGAGGUGAAAUGAAUUUCGCCUGAGGAUGAGCUCGCGUCUGAUUAGCUAGUUGGUGUAGGUAAUGGCUCACCAAGGCAUCGAUCAGUAGCUGGUCUGAGAGGAUGAUCAGCCACACUGGGACUGAGACACGGCCCAGACUCCUACGGGAGGCAGCAGUGGGGAAUUUUCCGCAAUGGGCGAAAGCCUGACGGAGCAACGCCGCGUGAGGGAUGAAGGCCUCUGGGCUGUAAACCUCUUUUAUCAAGGAAGAAGAUCUGACGGUACUUGAUGAAUAAGCCACGGCUAAUUCCGUGCCAGCAGCCGCGGUAAUACGGGAGUGGCAAGCGUUAUCCGGAAUUAUUGGGCGUAAAGCGUCCGCAGGCGGCCCUUCAAGUCUGCUGUUAAAAAGUGGAGCUUAACUCCAUCAUGGCAGUGGAAACUGUUGGGCUUGAGUGUGGUAGGGGCAGAGGGAAUUCCCGGUGUAGCGGUGAAAUGCGUAGAUAUCGGGAAGAACACCAGUGGCGAAGGCGCUCUGCUGGGCCAUCACUGACGCUCAUGGACGAAAGCCAGGGGAGCGAAAGGGAUUAGAUACCCCUGUAGUCCUGGCCGUAAACGAUGAACACUAGGUGUCGGGGGAAUCGACCCCCUCGGUGUCGUAGCCAACGCGUUAAGUGUUCCGCCUGGGGAGUACGCACGCAAGUGUGAAACUCAAAGGAAUUGACGGGGGCCCGCACAAGCGGUGGAGUAUGUGGUUUAAUUCGAUGCAACGCGAAGAACCUUACCAGGGUUUGACAUCCUGCGAAUCUCUUGGAAACGAGAGAGUGCCUUCGGGAACGCAGUGACAGGUGGUGCAUGGCUGUCGUCAGCUCGCGUCGUGAGAUGUCGGGUUAAGUCCCGCAACGAGCGCAACCCACGUCUUUAGUUGCCAGCAUUUAGUUGGGCACUCUAGAGAGACUGCCGGUGAUAAACCGGAGGAAGGUGUGGAUGACGUCAAGUCAUCAUGCCCCUUACAUCCUGGGCUACACACGUACUACAAUGCUACGGACAAAGGGCUGCAAGUUCGCGAGGACAAGCAAAUCCCAUAAACCGUGGCUCAGUUCAGAUCGUAGGCUGCAACUCGCCUACGUGAAGGCGGAAUCGCUAGUAAUCGCAGGUCAGCAUACUGCGGUGAAUACGUUCCCGGGCCUUGUACACACCGCCCGUCACACCAUGGAAGUUGGCCACGCCCGAAGCCGUUACUCCAACCCUUGUGGAGGAGGACGUCGAAGGUGGGGCUGAUGACUGGGGUGAAGUCGUAACAAGGUAACC